AAAUAGAAGAUUUAUUUAACUUAAAGAGUUUUAAUUUUUAUUUGUAAGAAAUAUAUUAAAUUUUAUUAGUUUAAUCGAAUAAAUUAUAAUUUGUGUAUAAGGUUAUACAAAUUAAUUAUUAUAGUAAAUUAGUAUUGUGAAAGAAUUUUGGGCAUUUAGAUAAAGAAAGAUUGAGUUUCUGUACCUUGUGUAUCAGGGUUUAUUAAUUAAAAUUUUAGGAUUGUAGAAUUUCUCGAAUUUAAAAGAGCUAUUAAUAUAUUAAUUUAAUUGUUGAAGAAAUUUGGCUAAUAUGUUUAUAGAAGUGAAAUGUUAAUCGAUUUUAAUUAUAUCUAGUUUUUUAAGAAAUAAAUUUAAUUUUAUUUUUACUUUGUAUAAAUUCAAUUAUAUGAGUUUAUAUAUGUAAGAAUUUACAUUUUGGGGGUCGAGCUUCAAUAUGGAGUGUGUAUAAUUAAUCGUGGAUUAGAAUAUUUUUCUUAGGAUUGAAAGUUUCUAUUGAAUUAGUGUGUAAUAAUUAAAAAUAUAAUUUUAAAAAUUUAUAUAGGAAUUUACUUGUGUUUAUUAAAAUAUAAAUUUAAACUUUUUAAAUUUAGAAAUAAUGAUGGAAUUAGUAUAAAUCAAUGUGUCUUUAUAGAAAAAGAAGAGGUUUUCUAAAGGAAUUCGGCAAACAAUUUUUUCACCUGUUUAAUAAAAACAUGGCUUGUUGAUUUUAAUUUCAGGUCUGGCCUGCCCAAUGAUAAGUUAAAUGGCUGCGGUAUAUUGACCGUACAAAGGUAGCAUAAUCAUUAGUUUUUUAAUUGAAAGCUUGUACGAAGGGUUUAAUGAAAAAAAUUCUGUCUCUAGAGAAUUUUACUAGAAUUUUAUUUUUAAGUUAAAAGGCUUAAAUAUAAAUAGAAGACGAGAAGACCCUAUAGAGUUUUACAUAAUUAGUAGUUUUAAAGGUCUAAGCUUAAAAUUUAUUAAUCUAUUAUUGUGUUUUAUUGGGGUGAUGGGAAAAUUGAAUAAACUUUUCUUUAAUAUAAAGACACAUUGAUUUAUGAGAAUGAGAUCCUAAAUUUAAGAUUUAAAGAUUAAAUUACCUUAGGGAUAACAGCGUAAUUUUUUUUAGAGUUCUUAUCGAAAGAAAAGAUUGCGACCUCGAUGUUGGAUUAAAAUUGAUUGCUGGUGUAGUUGCUAGAAAAUUAGGUCUGUUCGACCUUUAAAAUUUUACAUGAUCUGAGUUUAAACCGGUGUGAGCCAGGUUGGUUUCUAUCUCUAUUUAGGUAAAAUAUUUUAGUACGAAAGGACCAAGUAUUUAAUAUAUUAUUUUUGUUUUAGAAGGACAGUAAAU
RNAcentral lists this ribosomal RNA (1327 nucleotides) under Trigonopterus sp. 4 AH-2016. RNAcentral's name for it is "16S ribosomal RNA". The stretch from base 889 to 1254 matches the Rfam family "Archaeal large subunit ribosomal RNA", at positions 2151 to 2715 of the family's 2987-position model. Lineage: Eukaryota; Metazoa; Arthropoda; Insecta; Coleoptera; Curculionidae. The record is from RNAcentral.